Macaca nemestrina (pig-tailed macaque) is the source of this 99-nucleotide ribosomal RNA. NCBI's taxonomy places the organism in Eukaryota, Metazoa, Chordata, Mammalia, Primates, Cercopithecidae. The record is from Ensembl.
AUCUACGACCAUACCAUUCUUAUCCUGGAAGCUAAGCAGGGUAGGACUUGGCCAGUACUUAGAUGAAAGACUGUCUGGGAAUACCAGCCGCUGUAGGCU